GAGCGCACUCUUUUAGAGUGAGCGGCAAACGGGUGAGUAACGCGUGGGAAUCUACCCCUCUCUACGGAAUAACACAGAGAAAUUUGUGCUAAUACCGUAUACGUCCUAUUGGAGAAAGAUUUAUCGGAGAUGGAUGAGCCCGCGUUGGAUUAGCUAGUUGGUGAGGUAACGGCUCACCAAGGCGACGAUCCAUAGCUGGUCUGAGAGGAUGAUCAGCCACACUGGGACUGAGACACGGCCCAGACUCCUACGGGAGGCAGCAGUGGGGAAUAUUGGACAAUGGGGGCAACCCUGAUCCAGCCAUGCCGCGUGAGUGAUGAA
Molecule: ribosomal RNA, 321 nt
Filed under: uncultured Bartonella sp.
Lineage: Bacteria; Pseudomonadati; Pseudomonadota; Alphaproteobacteria; Hyphomicrobiales; Bartonellaceae
Description: bacterial SSU rRNA
Rfam family: Bacterial small subunit ribosomal RNA
Source: RNAcentral